AACGAACGCUGGCGGCAUGCCUAACACAUGCAAGUCGAACGAGAUCUUCGGGUCUAGUGGCGCACGGGUGCGUAACGCGUGGGAAUCUACCCUUUGGUUCGGAAUAACAGUUGGAAACGACUGCUAAUACCGGAUGAUGACGAAAGUCCAAAGAUUUAUCGCCAGAGGAUGAGCCCGCGUAGGAUUAGCUAGUUGGUGUGGUAAAGGCGCACCAAGGCGACGAUCCUUAGCUGUUCUGAGAGGAUGAUCGGCCACACUGGGACUGAGACACGGCCCAGACUCCUACGGGAGGCAGCAGUGGGGAAUAUUGGACAAUGGGCGAAAGCCUGAUCCAGCAAUGCCGCGUGAGUGAUGAAGGCCUUAGGGUUGUAAAGCUCUUUUACCCGGGAUGAUAAUGACAGUACCGGGAGAAUAAGCUCCGGCUAACUCCGUGCCAGCCGCCGCCGUAA
RNAcentral lists this ribosomal RNA (449 nucleotides) under uncultured bacterium. RNAcentral's name for it is "partial 16S ribosomal RNA". It matches the Rfam family "Bacterial small subunit ribosomal RNA", at positions 29 to 523 of the family's 1533-position model. The record is from RNAcentral.